Long non-coding RNA from Pan troglodytes (chimpanzee), 2763 nucleotides. RefSeq lists it as uncharacterized. Lineage: Eukaryota; Metazoa; Chordata; Mammalia; Primates; Hominidae. The transcript is spliced from 4 exons. The record is from RefSeq and is a predicted model, not a curated record.
CUUGGAAUCUCCAGAAUGAUGAGGGUUUUUUGUAUGCUGAUGAGAUGACUGAUGGCUGGGGGUCUCUAGAUGAGGUGCUUGCUAUGUUGCCUAGGCUGGUCUUGAACUUCUGGCCUCAAGAAAUCCUCCUCCUGAUCCUCCUGCCUCAGCCUCCCAAAGUGUUGGGAUUACAGCACUGGCUAGAACUUCCAUCCCUGUGGUGAAUAAGAGUGAUGAAAGUGGACACCAUCGUAUUAUUGAAUUGAAGGGAUUCAAACCUCUUCUGUGAUAAUCAUAGAACUGUAGCAUCAGAAGGCAAUUCCCUAAGCGUGGUCUGCCCACAUCCCUGGUGGUAAGCCAAAUGAUCGUAAGUGGUAGAGCGGCAAUUACUUUUAAAAAAUUUGACAGUCAUAUAUCUAUUUCAAUGUAUAGCAAAUAUAGAAUUGGAACAUCAAACUAUGAUUUUAUAGAUAUUAUUGCCUAGGACCAUGCUAAGUUUCAGAAGUGAAUCUAUUUAGAUCAAUAAAAAUAUAUUAAGAAAGUAGUGGCAUAGGUGGUGUGUCACUCUAACAGAGCAUAAACCAGUUGGGAGACAAUCCUACCGAGGUCUGAAGUGGCAUUCUCACACAUGGACUAUGUUCUCAGCAGCUGGGCAGCUAGCUUCUGCUCAUGAGGAGCAGAGGUAACUGGAGUAGCAUAGUCUGCAUGAGGAUUGAGCAGACCCAAACACAAGUUGAGAGAGGCUGGGCAUUAGAAGAACAAAUAUCUCCUUUUAAGAUUAUUCAGCCUGGCAGUCUGUUCUCAAUGUGAACUCAAGAGGCUGCUUCCUCUACGUGCCCAUGCAAAGCACAAAUCUGAGAUCUUACUAUUCCAAUUUGAGGAAGAGCCACCUGCACCUUGGAAAAACGGAAGCGCGUGCAAAAGCCUGAGAACCAGCUGGUUGCAGGUCUGUGCCAGGCCUUUGUGCACUAGGUGUGCCUGGGUCGGGGGAGAAGUCCAUGGGGCUGAGCUCAGGCAGGCCAGUGCUCCAUGUAUGUGGUAACAAGAAGGUAAAGGAACAAGAAAAGCUGUUGAACCAGCCAUAAAUUGGCUGUCUUCCGUGGUAUUCAGUGUCCUGUUUAUGACUGUAAAUUGGGUAUAUCUUUAUCACAACUGUGCUUUUGGGGAAAACAGGAAGUAUUUCUCCUAAGGAAUGGGUUUACACUGAAUAUUUGGUGUAUUCGUUCUCACAGUGCUAUAAAGAACUACCUGAGUCUGGGGAAUUUAUGAAGAAAAGAGGUUUAAUUGACUCAUAGCUCUGCAGGCUUAACAGGAAGCAUGGCUGGGGAGGCCUCAGGAAACUUACAAUCAUGGUGGAAGGCUAAGGGGAAGCAAGCAUGUCUUAACCUGACAGAAUAGGAGAAGGGGUUGGGGAAGUGCCACACACUUUUAAACUAUCAGAUCUCAUGAGAACUCACUCACUCUCACGAGAACAGCAUGGAAGAAAUCCACCCCCAUGAUCUAGUCACUUCCCACCAGGUCCCUUUCCCAAAAUUGGGAAUUACAAUUCAACAUGAGAUUUGGGUGGGGACACAGAGCCAAACCAUAUCCCUUGGUAUGUUAGUGAGGGCUCUCAAGAUAAACAGAACUAACAGGAUAUAUCUAUAUAUUUAUCUAACGUAGGAGAUUAUAAGGUAUUGGCUCACUCAAUUAUGAAGACUGAGAAAUGUCAUAAUCUGCUUGUCUGCAAGCUGGAGAUCCAGAAAAGCUGGUGGUGUAGUUUAAUGGACUGAGAGCCAGUGCUAUAGAUUCAAGUCCAAGCCCGAAGGCCUAAGAACCAGGAGCUCCAAGGAUAGGAAAAGAUUUACUUACUAGCUCAUGCAGUCAGACAACGAACAAAUUCAACCUUCUUCCACCUUUUAGUUCUAUUUAAGCCUUCAACAGAUUGGAUGAUGCCCCCUCACAUUGUGGAGGGCCAUCUGCUUUACUCAGUCUACCAAUUCAAAUCCUAAUCUCUUCUGGAAAUAACCUCACAGAAAUAUCCAGAACUAAUGUGUAAUCAGAUAUCUGGCCAUCCUGUGGCCCAGUCAAACUGACACAUAAAAUUAACCAUCACACUUGGUAUCAUCAACAUUGUGCUAAUGAAGACUGAGUUAUUUAGACUUUGGAAAAGAUACAGUGGACUAUUGUGCUCAUUUGAGGAUGUCCACGAAAUCAGCCUUUAGUACUAAAUAAAAAACAGAUAGAUAUGAAGAAUGGAUUGUUUAGGCAGAUUCUGGCACAGAACAUGGCUGAUGUUAGAACCUCCCCUCCCCCAGGGUCAUGACCUUGGGAAGAAGAGAUGGAUAAGUAAACCCUUAGACCCAUCUCAAUAUUACCUCCUCAGUAAGUUCUUUCCUAUAAUAAUUGUACCUUACCCUUCCUUGUUCUUCCAUCUUCUGUAUCACUUUAUCUGGACAACUGUUAGGGUAAGCACACUGCUAAUUAUGUUUUUGUUUAAUCCACUUUGAUAACAUGUUAAAUGCCCAGAGUGUACAGAUCUCUUCAUGAUUAUCUCUGCACUCUACUCAGAAUCCAGUUCAGUGCUUUGUGGAGAAUAAUAACUCAGAACAAUAAAGAUGGAACUGAAGGAGGGGGUAUAAGUGGGGAGAUGUAGCCACGCUCAGCAAGACAGGGCCAUGUGGUCACAGAACUACCCAGGAGACUUUGUCCCUGGCCAGCGCCUAGAUGACAUUUGCUGGAUACUUGGCACUGAUUGCUGCUAGCUGAGUGAGGAAGGGGGAAAAAAAAAAAAAAAUCCCAAAA